UACGAAGGGUGCAAACGUUGCUCGGAAUUACUGGGCGUAAAGGGCUCGUAGGCGGCCAACUAAGUCAGACGUGAAAUCCCCAGGCUCAACCUGGGAACUGCGUCUGAUACUGGAUGGCUUGAAUUCGGGAGAGGGAUGCAGAAUUCCAGGUGUAGCGGUGAAAUGCGUAGAUAUCUGGAGGAAUACCGGUGGCGAAGGCGGCAUCCUGGACCGGCAUUGACGCUGAACAGCGAAAGCUAGGGGAGCAAACGGG
RNAcentral lists this ribosomal RNA (253 nucleotides) under uncultured bacterium. RNAcentral describes it as "partial 16S ribosomal RNA". It matches the Rfam family "Bacterial small subunit ribosomal RNA", at positions 524 to 776 of the family's 1533-position model. The record is from RNAcentral.